This 253-nucleotide ribosomal RNA is filed under the name uncultured bacterium. Its description in RNAcentral is "partial 16S ribosomal RNA". It matches the Rfam family "Bacterial small subunit ribosomal RNA", at positions 524 to 776 of the family's 1533-position model. The record is from RNAcentral.
UACGUAGGUGGCAAGCGUUGUCCGGAUUUACUGGGCGUAAAGAGCGCGCAGGCGGCCAAGUCAGUCGAAUGUGAAAGCCCCCGGCUCAACUGGGGAGGGUCAUUCGAUACUGCUCGGCUCGAAGACAGGAGAGGGAAGUGGAAUUCCCGGUGUAGUGGUGAAAUGCGUAGAUAUCCGGAGGAACACCGGUGGCGAAGGCGGCUUCCUGGACCGACACUGACGCUGAGGCGCGAAAGCUAGGGGAGCAAACGGG